GACGAACGCUGGCGGCGUGCUUAACACAUGCAAGUCGAACGGAAAGGCCCUGCUUUUGUGGGGUGCUCGAGUGGCGAACGGGUGAGCAACACGUGAGUAACCUGCCCUUGACUUUGGGAUAACUUCAGGAAACUGGGGCUAAUACCGGAUAGGAGCUCCAGCUGCAUGGUGGGGGUUGGAAAGUUUCGGCGGUUGGGGAUGGACUCGCGGCUUAUCAGCUUGUUGGUGGGGUAGUGGCUUACCAAGGCUUUGACGGGUAGCCGGCCUGAGAGGGUGACCGGCCACAUUGGGACUGAGAUACGGCCCAGACUCCUACGGGAGGCAGCAGUGGGGAAUAUUGCACAAUGGGCGGAAGCCUGAUGCAGCAACGCCGCGUGCGGGAUGACGGCCUUCGGGUUGUAAACCGCUUUCGCCUGUGACGAAGCGUGAGUGACGGUAAUGGGUAAAGAAGCACCGGCUAACUACGUG
This 468-nucleotide ribosomal RNA is filed under the name uncultured bacterium. Its description in RNAcentral is "partial 16S ribosomal RNA". It matches the Rfam family "Bacterial small subunit ribosomal RNA", at positions 28 to 507 of the family's 1533-position model. The record is from RNAcentral.